This 1593-nucleotide ribosomal RNA is filed under the name Salmonella enterica subsp. enterica serovar Enteritidis. RNAcentral describes it as "partial 23S ribosomal RNA". It matches the Rfam family "Bacterial large subunit ribosomal RNA", at positions 1292 to 2863 of the family's 2925-position model. Lineage: Bacteria; Pseudomonadati; Pseudomonadota; Gammaproteobacteria; Enterobacterales; Enterobacteriaceae. The record is from RNAcentral.
GAAUGCUGACAUAAGUAACGAUAAAGCGGGUGAAAAGCCCGCUCGCCGGAAGACCAAGGGUUCCUGUCCAACGUUAAUCGGGGCAGGGUGAGUCGACCCCUAAGGCGAGGCCGAAAGGCGUAGUCGAUGGGAAACGGGUUAAUAUUCCCGUACUUGGUGUUACUGCGAAGGGGGGACGGAGAAGGCUAUGUUGGCCGGGCGACGGUUGUCCCGGUUUAAGCGUGUAGGUGUGUGUUCCAGGUAAAUCCGGUUCACUUUAACACUGAGGCGUGACGACGAGGCACUACGGUGCUGAAGCAACAAAUGCCCUGCUUCCAGGAAAAGCCUCUAAGCAUCAGGUAACAUCAAAUCGUACCCCAAACCGACACAGGUGGUCAGGUAGAGAAUACCAAGGCGCUUGAGAGAACUCGGGUGAAGGAACUAGGCAAAAUGGUGCCGUAACUUCGGGAGAAGGCACGCUGACACGUAGGUGAAGUGAUUUACUCAUGGAGCUGAAGUCAGUCGAAGAUACCAGCUGGCUGCAACUGUUUAUUAAAAACACAGCACUGUGCAAACACGAAAGUGGACGUAUACGGUGUGACGCCUGCCCGGUGCCGGAAGGUUAAUUGAUGGGGUCAGCGCAAGCGAAGCUCCUGAUCGAAGCCCCGGUAAACGGCGGCCGUAACUAUAACGGUCCUAAGGUAGCGAAAUUCCUUGUCGGGUAAGUUCCGACCUGCACGAAUGGCGUAAUGAUGGCCAGGCUGUCUCCACCCGAGACUCAGUGAAAUUGAACUCGCUGUGAAGAUGCAGUGUACCCGCGGCAAGACGGAAAGACCCCGUGAACCUUUACUAUAGCUUGACACUGAACAUUGAGCCUUGAUGUGUAGGAUAGGUGGGAGGCUUUGAAGUGUGGACGCCAGUCUGCAUGGAGCCGACCUUGAAAUACCACCCUUUAAUGUUUGAUGUUCUAACGUGGACCCGUUACCCGGGUUGCGGACAGUGUCUGGUGGGUAGUUUGACUGGGGCGGUCUCCUCCUAAAGAGUAACGGAGGAGCACGAAGGUUGGCUAAUCCUGGUCGGACAUCAGGAGGUUAGUGCAAUGGCAUAAGCCAGCUUGACUGCGAGCGUGACGGCGCGAGCAGGUGCGAAAGCAGGUCAUAGUGAUCCGGUGGUUCUGAAUGGAAGGGCCAUCGCUCAACGGAUAAAAGGUACUCCGGGGAUAACAGGCUGAUACCGCCCAAGAGUUCAUAUCGACGGCGGUGUUUGGCACCUCGAUGUCGGCUCAUCACAUCCUGGGGCUGAAGUAGGUCCCAAGGGUAUGGCUGUUCGCCAUUUAAAGUGGUACGCGAGCUGGGUUUAGAACGUCGUGAGACAGUUCGGUCCCUAUCUGCCGUGGGCGCUGGAGAACUGAGGGGGGCUGCUCCUAGUACGAGAGGACCGGAGUGGACGCAUCACUGGUGUUCGGGUUGUCAUGCCAAUGGCACUGCCCGGUAGCUAAAUGCGGAAGAGAUAAGUGCUGAAAGCAUCUAAGCACGAAACUUGCCCCGAGAUGAGUUCUCCCUGAGACUUAGAGUCUCCUGAAGGAACGUUGAAGACGACGACGUUGAUAGGCCG